UCCAAUCGAACCCGGAGAUAGCUGGUUCUCCUCGAAAUAGCUUUAGGGCUAGCCUCAUGGAUCAUUGAUGGGGGUAGAGCACUGAAUGUGCGCGGGGGCCACAAAGCCUACCAAACGCUAUCAAACUUCGAAUACCAUACAAUGCAGACCAUGGGAGUCAGUCCGCGAGAGAUAAGUUCCGCGGGCAAAAGGGGAACACCCCAGAUCAACCGCUAAGGUCCCCAAGUUCACGUUAAGUGGAGAAGGAUGUGGAAUUGCACAGACAACCAGGAUGUUGGCUCAGAAGCAGCCACACAUUUAAAGAGUGCGUAAUAGCUCACUGGUCGAGUGAUUGUGCGCCGAAGAUGUCCGGGGCUAAACGUGACACCGAAGCGAUGGGUGCAUCUGAAGAAGAUGCGCGGUAGAGGAGCAAUGUGCAGAGGCAGAAGCCGUAUCGAGAGGCACGGUGGACACUGCACAAGAGAGAAUGCCGGUAUGAGUAGCGAGAGGCAUGCGAGAAACAUGCCCGUCGAAAGCCCAAGGUUUCCUGGGGAAGGUUCAUCCGCCCAGGGUAAGUCGGGGCCUAAGCCGAGGACGGAAGUCGUAGGCGAUGGACAGCAGGUGUAGAUUCCUGCACUACCGAUGGAAUGAAGCAGUGACACAGAAGGAUAACUCGAGCAGGGUGAUGGUCAACCCUGUGCAAGCAUCAAGGUUGGGUUGUAGUGAAGUACGCAACCCUAUAAGCUGAGAUGUGAUGCGGACCGAAAUUUCAGUAGGGAAGCGAGUGAGUUCACGCUGGCGAGAAAAGCUGCUAGUACAUCCAAAGGUACCCGUACCGGAAACCGACGCAGGUGGGCGAGGAGAGAAUCCUGAGACGAACGGGAGAACCCUUGUUAAGGAACUCGGCAAAAUGACCCCGUAACUUCGGGAUAAGGGGUGCCUGCGAGAGCAGGCCGCAGAGAAUAGUCACAAGCGACUGUUUAGCAAAAACACAGGUAUCUGCGAAAGCGAGAGCUGACGUAUAGGUGCUGACACCUGCCCGGUGCUGGAAGGUUAAGGGAACAUGUUAGAGCAAUCGAAGCAUCGAACCGAAGCCCCAGUAAACGGCGGCCGUAACUAUAACGGUCCUAAGGUAGCGAAAUUCCUUGUCGGGUAAGUUCCGACCCGCACGAAUGGUGUAACGACUUGUGAGCUGUCUCAACAGGGGGCCCGGUGAAAUUGAAGUAUGGGUGAAGAUGCCCAUUACCCGCGACUGGACGGAAAGACCCCGUAGAGCUUUACUGCAGCCUGAUAUUGAGUUUCGGUAACUGAUGCACAGGAUAGGUGGGAGUCUGAGAGACAUGGGUUUCGGCUCAUGUGGAGACGGUGUUGGGAUACCACUCUUCGGUUACUGAAAUUCUAACAUAGCUCUGUGAAACCAGAGGAUGGACAGUGUCAGGUGGACAGUUUGACUGGGGCGGUCGCCUCCGAAAGAGUAACGGAGGCGCCCAAAGGUACCCUCAGAAUGGAUGGAAACCAUUCGAAGAGCGCAAAGGCAGAAGGGUGCCUGACUGCGAGAUUGACAAAUCGAGCAGAGACGAAAGUCGGGCUUAGUGAUCCGGCGGUAUUGAGUGGAAAAGCCGUCGCUUAACGGAUAAAAGCUACCUCGGGGAUAACAGGCUGAUCUCCCCCAAGAGUCCACAUCGACGGGGAGGUUUGGCACCUCGAUGUCGGCUCAUCGCAUCCUGGGGCUGUAUUCGGUCCCAAGGGUUUGGCUGUUCGCCAAUUAAAGCGGUACGCGAGCUGGGUUCAGAACGUCGUGAGACAGUUCGGUCCCUAUCCGGCGUGGGCGUAGGAUAUCUGAGAGGAGCUGUCCUUAGUACGAGAGGACCGGGAUGGACUGACCUCUGGUGCACCAGUUGUUCCGCCAGGAGCAUGGCUGGGUAGCUAAGUCGGGAAGGGAUAAACGCUGAAAGCAUCUAAGCGUGAAGCCUCCCUCAAGAUGAGAUUUCCCAUAGCAUAAGCUAGUAAGACCCCUUGAAGAACACAAGGUUGAUAGGUCAGAGGUGUAAGUGCGGUAACGUAUUUAGCUGACUGAUACUAAUAGGUCGAGGGCUUGACCAA
RNAcentral lists this ribosomal RNA (2082 nucleotides) under human gut metagenome. RNAcentral's name for it is "bacterial LSU rRNA". It matches the Rfam family "Bacterial large subunit ribosomal RNA", at positions 828 to 2925 of the family's 2925-position model. The record is from RNAcentral.